RNAcentral lists this ribosomal RNA (1489 nucleotides) under Lactiplantibacillus pentosus. RNAcentral describes it as "bacterial SSU rRNA". It matches the Rfam family "Bacterial small subunit ribosomal RNA". Lineage: Bacteria; Bacillati; Bacillota; Bacilli; Lactobacillales; Lactobacillaceae. The record is from RNAcentral.
GACGAACGCUGGCGGCGUGCCUAAUACAUGCAAGUCGAACGAACUCUGGUAUUGAUUGGUGCUUGCAUCAUGAUUUACAUUUGAGUGAGUGGCGAACUGGUGAGUAACACGUGGGAAACCUGCCCAGAAGCGGGGGAUAACACCUGGAAACAGAUGCUAAUACCGCAUAACAACUUGGACCGCAUGGUCCGAGUUUGAAAGAUGGCUUCGGCUAUCACUUUUGGAUGGUCCCGCGGCGUAUUAGCUAGAUGGUGAGGUAACGGCUCACCAUGGCAAUGAUACGUAGCCGACCUGAGAGGGUAAUCGGCCACAUUGGGACUGAGACACGGCCCAAACUCCUACGGGAGGCAGCAGUAGGGAAUCUUUCACAAUGGACGAAAGUCUGAUGGAGCAACGCCGCGUGAGUGAAGAAGGGUUUCGGCUCGUAAAACUCUGUUGUUAAAGAAGAACAUAUCUGAGAGUAACUGUUCAGGUAUUGACGGUAUUUAACCAGAAAGCCACGGCUAACUACGUGCCAGCAGCCGCGGUAAUACGUAGGUGGCAAGCGUUGUCCGGAUUUAUUGGGCGUAAAGCGAGCGCAGGCGGUUUUUUAAGUCUGAUGUGAAAGCCUUCGGCUCAACCGAAGAAGUGCAUCGGAAACUGGGAAACUUGAGUGCAGAAGAGGACAGAGGAACUCCAUGUGUAGCGGUGAAAUGCGUAGAUAUAUGGAAGAACACCAGUGGCGAAGGCGGCUGUCUGGUCUGUAACUGACGCUGAGGCUCGAAAGUAUGGGUAGCAAACAGGAUUAGAUACCCUGGUAGUCCAUACCGUAAACGAUGAAUGCUAAGUGUUGGAGGGUUUCCGCCCUUCAGUGCUGCAGCUAACGCAUUAAGCAUUCCGCCUGGGGAGUACGGCCGCAAGGCUGAAACUCAAAGGAAUUGACGGGGGCCCGCACAAGCGGUGGAGCAUGUGGUUUAAUUCGAAGCUACGCGAAGAACCUUACCAGGUCUUGACAUACUAUGCAAAUCUAAGAGAUUAGACGUUCCCUUCGGGGACAUGGAUACAGGUGGUGCAUGGUUGUCGUCAGCUCGUGUCGUGAGAUGUUGGGUUAAGUCCCGCAACGAGCGCAACCCUUAUUAUCAGUUGCCAGCAUUAAGUUGGGCACUCUGGUGAGACUGCCGGUGACAAACCGGAGGAAGGUGGGGAUGACGUCAAAUCAUCAUGCCCCUUAUGACCUGGGCUACACACGUGCUACAAUGGAUGGUACAACGAGUUGCGAACUCGCGAGAGUAAGCUAAUCUCUUAAAGCCAUUCUCAGUUCGGAUUGUAGGCUGCAACUCGCCUACAUGAAGUCGGAAUCGCUAGUAAUCGCGGAUCAGCAUGCCGCGGUGAAUACGUUCCCGGGCCUUGUACACACCGCCCGUCACACCAUGAGAGUUUGUAACACCCAAAGUCGGUGGGGUAACCUUUUAGGAACCAGCCGCCUAAGGUGGGACAGAUGAUUAGGGUG